This 586-nucleotide long non-coding RNA is filed under the name Drosophila guanche. Lineage: Eukaryota; Metazoa; Arthropoda; Insecta; Diptera; Drosophilidae. The record is from RNAcentral.
AACAGGAAAUUAAAAAUAUUUAUAUGUAGUAAAUGCUGCAUUUGGGCGAGAGUCUAUCUGUGUGCGUGUGUGUGUGUGGGUGUGUGGCUGUUUGUUGCCUACUUUUUGGCAUAUUCUCCUGGUCCCUUUGUUUGAGGUUCUCGCUCUUCGCUCACUUGUUGGCCCGGGUUUUGUUUGACUGUUUGCAUUGUUUUCCACAUGGGCCACAUUAUUAUGAUGUCUCCUCGCUUUUCGCCUGAAUGAAGUGCAGCGCACAUAAGAGAGAGAGAGAGAGAGAGAGAGAGGGAGAGCUCUCUAGGGAUGCACGAAGCUCGUGUCGUGAGUGGCAGAAUUGCGGAAUGUGCAACAGAAACUCCGUGCAGCUGCUCACGCUUCCAUGUCUAGAUGCACACACUCGCACACUCUCUGACUCACGUAUCUGCUGGGGUCGCCUGUUGGCGUCAGCUUCGCGAUUUUUCAUCAAAGUCACGACGGGCAAAAGUUGGCGGCGAGAAGCUGCCGCUGCCACUGCCACUGCCACUGCCCCAUUGUUGCCUCUGACACUGACACCGGAAAUGAACACAUUUUCCGGUGGCAUACGUGGCAC